UACGGAGGGUGCAAGCAUUAAUCGGAUUUAUUGGGCGUAAAGGGCGCGUAGGCGGAAAGAAAAGUCAGAUGUGAAAUCCUGGGGCUCAACCUCAGAACAGCAUUUGAAACUGACAUUCUAGAGGAUAGGAGGGGAAAACGGAAUUCCACAAGUAGCGGUGAAAUGCGUAGAUAUGUGGAAGAACACCGGUGGCGACGGCGGUUUUCUAUCUUAUUCCUGACGCUGAGGCGCGAAAGCAAGGGGAUCAAACAGG
RNAcentral lists this ribosomal RNA (253 nucleotides) under uncultured bacterium. RNAcentral describes it as "partial 16S ribosomal RNA". It matches the Rfam family "Bacterial small subunit ribosomal RNA", at positions 524 to 776 of the family's 1533-position model. The record is from RNAcentral.